GCCGAUAAAAGGCAAACCUGUCGAAAGGCAGGGGCGCAAAGCCAUGGGCCUACGGCUCCAUUGAUGAUGGAGCUACGGCUGCCAGGUUGCCGGC
This 94-nucleotide non-coding RNA is filed under the name Thermosediminibacter oceani. RNAcentral's name for it is "c-di-GMP sequence". It matches the Rfam family "c-di-GMP-I riboswitch aptamer". From Rfam's summary of the family: GEMM was predicted in a large-scale screen for bacterial structured RNA regulatory elements. The record is from RNAcentral. RNAcentral also lists the same sequence under 1 other name. Lineage: Bacteria; Bacillati; Bacillota; Clostridia; Thermosediminibacterales; Thermosediminibacteraceae.